AAGUUGGAGGCUUAAGUGACUGAGCCACCCAGGCGCCCCUCCAAACAGGAAACAAGGAGACAGGAUGGCUCAGCCAGUGGAGCGGGGAAGGAAAUGACAGAAAGCAGGCAUGGCAGAACUUCCUGUGGCCGUGGGGAUGCUCAAGCAGCCUCUGUCCACGCGGGGCAAUGCGGAGGGGCCCGCAAGCUGGGGCUCAGACCCCCAGAGUGAGAGAGGGAGAAAUAGAUCAGCUGGACGCGGACAGAAGAAGCUACACCGGAAAAGCUUGUGUAAUAAGAUGUCAUGUAGGGCUGGCCUGGUGGACCCCCAGGAAGACAAGGAGCCCCGGCCGCCAGGAGUGGAGGGGAGUUCAGCAAGGUGCUAUGCUGAGUCCUGCUGGGACUGGAAUAAACCUCAGUCAUCCUGAGGUCUUUAUUGAAAAUGCUGCUGAUUGGUGCAUCCUGAAUUAGUCUUACAUCA
Molecule: long non-coding RNA, 459 nt
Organism: Suricata suricatta (meerkat)
Lineage: Eukaryota; Metazoa; Chordata; Mammalia; Carnivora; Herpestidae
Exons: 3
Source: RefSeq, a predicted model, not a curated record